AAAUGACCCAAACUUGGCCCAAAUACCUCCAAAAUAGCCCCAAAAUGAGGAAAAAUGACCCAAAUUUGCCCCAAAUAGCCCCAAAAUGGCCCCAAAAUGACCCCAAAAUGAGCCCAUAUGACCCAAAAAUCCCCAAAUAUCCCCUAUAAUGGCCCCAAAACAAACAAAAAUGACCCAAAUUUACCCCAAAUGUCCCCCAAAUGACCCAAAUUCACCCCAAAUAUCCCCAAAAUGGCCCCAAAAUGACCCAAAAUGACCCAAAUGACCCCAAAUAUUCCUAAAAAUGGCCCCAAAAUGAGGCAAGAAGACCCAAAUUUGCCCCAAAUAGCCCCAAAUGGCCCCAAAAUGAGCCUAAAUGACCCCAAAAUCCCCGAAUAUCCCCCAAAAUGGCCCCCAAAAGAACAAAAAUGACCAAAAUUUACCCAAAAAGGCCCCAAAAUGACCCAAAUUCGCCCCAAAUAUCCCCAAAAUGGCCCCAAAAUGACCCAAAUGACCCAAAUAUUCCUAAAAAUGGCCCCAAAAUGAGGCAAGAAGACCCAAAUUUGCCCCAAAUAGCCCCAAAAUGACCCCAAAAUGAGUCCAUGUGACCCAAAAAUCCCCAAAUAUCCCCUAAAGUGGCCCCAAAACAAAAAUGACCCAAAUUUACCCUAAAUGUCCACCAAAUGACCCAAAUUCGCUCCAAAUAUCCCCAAAAUGGCCCCAAAAUGAGCCCAUAUGACCCAAAUAUCCCCAAAUAUCCCCCAAAAUGGCCCCCAAAAGAACAAAAAUGACCAAAAUUUACCCAAAAAGGCCCCAAAAUGACCCAAAUUCGCCCCAAAUAUCCCCAAAAUGGCCCCAAAAUGACCCAAAUGACCCAAAUAUUCCUAAAAAUGGCCCCAAAAUGAGGCAAGAAGACCCAAAUUUGCCCCAAAUAACCCCAAAUGAGCCCAAAAUUUUGCCCCAUUUCCCUUCAAAAUGACAUCGAAGAACCCCCAAAUAAUCCCCCAAAUCCGCAUUUUUCACCCCAAAGAACCCCAAUCCAUCCCCACCCACCCCCAAAAUGACCCCAUUUCCACCCAAAAUUGCCCCA
This 1069-nucleotide long non-coding RNA is filed under the name Gallus gallus (chicken). Its description in RNAcentral is "lncRNA (ENSGALG00010000664.1)". Lineage: Eukaryota; Metazoa; Chordata; Aves; Galliformes; Phasianidae. The record is from RNAcentral.